CUCAGCCUCUCUCACCGCCUCCCUCUCUCUCUCAUCUCUCUCACUCUCCACUCCUGGCGGCGGAUGGUGGGUCGGUGGCACUGCGGCAGCGGCUGGAGUUGCGCGACGGCGCAGCAGGCUGACGCCGGACGGCAAGCGCUGCAGCGGGGUGCGCUGCGGCGCUGCGGCCUGCGCCCUGCGCGCCAUCCGGCAGCUCGGCAGGGGGAGGCAGGGGCCGCGAGCCUCGAGGCAACGACGCCGGCGAGGGCACGAGGCCGAGGUGUAGGGGCGUGGUGGCCGGCGCUAGCGGGGAGGGUGGAGGGGGUGAGGUCGAAGACAGAAGGAUGGACGCAGUGCUUGCCAACGUACCCGCCAUGGAUUUAUGUUCGCCGAAGCCUGGAGACCUGAUCUGUAGAACAGAAGGCUGCAAGUAAUUUUUUUUCCUUUCUCAAUUUUUACCUCUUUCAUUUCUUACUUUCAUCAAUUGGUCAAUUAGAAAUUUCUUACUGUCAUUAUACUUCGUUGAAUGAAUUUUCAUGGAUAGUUCUUGCCUUUACUUUGAACCCUAUGUGUGUAGAGAACCUGGUUCUGCCACUAGAAAGAAAAGACAUGGUAGGAUACGAUUGAUAGAUAUAAUUAAAGGCAUAGACAACAACAAUAAAACGGAGCAAUCAUAGAUCUAUAGAAUAACGCAUGUCCAAGGCAAUUCUUGGAACAAGGUGCCAUGCACGAUUCACCAAUUGAACACGUCAUGUACACUAACUCAUGGAUAUCACUGACCCAUGGAUAUAUUCCCCCAUCCCACUAGAAUAUUAACCUCUAUCAUUUAUGCCAAAUAAAUUUACUUAUGUUCCUUAUCUAUUAUAGUCUAUAAAUCCAUCAAUUCCAUUUUCAGUAGUCUUUAUGUACACUUGCAAUAUUACUUCCCUAUCAAUAAAAAUUAUGUUGGUCAUUUUCACUUACUUUUAAUUUGUAUCUGAAGAGUUCAGGUUGGAGUUAUUUCGGCACUAAGGCAGUAAGUAUUUUUUUUUAUUUUAUUGUAGAUAAUAACAUAAUUAUGAUAAAUAAGAAAAUAUUUUAGUUGAAAGAAGACAGUCCACAGACAAAAACGAACUGUCAGUUGGAAGAUGUAAAAAGAAAAUGAACCAACGCAUGUAAAAUAGAACGACGUCAGCUGACGAUAGGGAGUGUCAUGUCCUUUUUACUGGUGAGGUACAAAAGUUGAGAUGAAAGAGAGCAUGCCAAACCAAGGCAUCCUAACUUAAGUAGGAGCGGAACUAAAAUAAAAUAAUACAGCAGAUACCACUCACUUACUUUUAGUGUUUUGAACAGAAUUAAUAGGGUGUAUAUAUGAUGAAAAUAGAUAAAUUCUACUUAAAAAAUUUCUAAACCGGGUGGCUGGGAAUCCCAUGCAUCACAUAACUCCGCUCCUGAACAUAAGACAAAAAAUCCUUAUAACUCUAUAUAGUCUACUUUACCAUUAUAAAAAGGUAUUAGGAGAUAAAAUAGAAUAAGCUAACUUUAAU
RNAcentral lists this long non-coding RNA (1505 nucleotides) under Oryza brachyantha (malo sina). Its description in RNAcentral is "long non-coding RNA (OBRA_LNC001792)". The record is from RNAcentral. Lineage: Eukaryota; Viridiplantae; Streptophyta; Magnoliopsida; Poales; Poaceae.